AGUGAACCUAAGCUGUAAAACUGGAGCUCGGCCAUAAAUUUGGGCCUCAGAUGUUAAACUGGGGCUCAGCCAUGAACUUGGGACCGCAGAUUAAAAAAAAUGGGGCCCAGCGGUAAAAUCAGAACCUAAGACGUAAAACAGGGGCUCAGUCGUAAAAAUAGAGGCCUCAGACGUAAAACUGGGGCCCACAGACGUAAAUUGCGGCUCAGCCGUAAAUCUGAAGCCCCAGAUGCAAAACCAGAUCUUCAGAUACAACUGGGGCCUCAGAGGUGAAUCAGAGAUGCAGGCACGUGUCAGUCUCAGGCGGAGUAUCUGGCGACCUGGGAAGGGAGGGCAGCGCAGGAUGUGCCAUUCUGUGACCGGAGGGAACGUGGGCCCCGAGUGUUCCUCAGACCAUAUUCCUUCCCCUCUGAGCUCGCCAGCAGCAGACCCCUUCCAGGUCCCCAACACCGCAGCACCAGCCGGGUGGUCCCAAGGAUUUGGAUGCCCAUGGCUUUGGGGAGUUAUCACUCACUCCACCUAGCACAAAGGCAAGGGAGGAGUAUGGGGACAGUGCCUGCAGACCUUGUAUGUGGAGGCUGUAAAUAAUGAAUUACAGGUACGGACUGGUGGUCAAAAUUAAAAUGUAAAAGUGGAGGAAGUCAGAGAGAACAGGUGAAUCACGUGGAGCAGGAGAAAGACACUCAAACUGUACUUCCCAUGUGGUCAGAUUGGUCAGCGCAGAGAGGCUGAGGUGCAGUGUAGAUACUGGAAAGCUUGGCUGCUAGUCUGUAUGCAGAAUGUUUUGCUAGUUCGCAUUCCCAUGUGCAUCCUUCCCACGUACAUUUGGGGGUCAUAGCAGCCUCUGUGUACUUGCCUUUCCUGGGGAAAUGGGGUCUGGAGGACAUGUCCUGGGGGAUGGAGCUAGGACUCAGGGGUGAUUCUCUUGCAACAGUGCUUGUCUGGAAGCACUGAGUUCAUCAACAGGGGUAACAUUUCUUUAGGGUAAUAACCCCUCCUAUGUGGUUCCACCCCACGUUCUAGUCUGUAAUUUUUUUCUUUAAUGUAAGUUUCUCAUAUGAUUCAGUGAGAGGUACUUACAUGCUGCUCUGACUUUUCUGUCUCCUCCAGCAAGGGGACCCUGAGCUUCUUCGGGAGGUGACUCAUGUACAGGGGGACAGCUGCACCUGUUCUGCAUGCAUGUCCAGCACGGUUAGUCUUUCAUUUGAAAGAAAAGAAGAGAUAGAGAGAGGCACAAAGAGAGACAGGGAGAUGGACAGAGAUACAGAGAGAGAGGUGGAGGGACCAGAGAUGCAGAGACAAAGACAGGGACAGAGUCAGGGACAGAGACAGGGAGGGACAGAGACAGAGUCAGGGACAGAGGUAGAGUCAGGGACAGGGCCUGUGCAGCGAGCCUUCCUAAACACCCAGGUGCCCCCUUUCCCUGCACUUGGGAACAUCCUUCUUCUUUCAGGUUUCAUGUAGUUUAAAUCCCAAAGGGAAAAACAAACUUAAAAAUAGCAUCUGGUAUAUGUGUAUAUAUACAUACA
RNAcentral lists this long non-coding RNA (1529 nucleotides) under Sus scrofa (pig). RNAcentral's name for it is "lncRNA (ENSSSCG00070027453.1)". The record is from RNAcentral. Lineage: Eukaryota; Metazoa; Chordata; Mammalia; Artiodactyla; Suidae.